GACCCCGAUUGCCUAAACGUUUUUCCAGGCUAUCAAAUAUGACCUAUGGAACCAUAGUCACCGCCCCGCCAUGAUCGUUCCUCGUUGUUUUGCUUUUUAUGACCAAAAAACUAGAAUUUCGCCUGAUUCCCAUAUUUUCGUGUGCUCCAGCCCAUACCUUCCGAGUGGGCCCGGGUCCCCCAAAACCGGAUUGCCAAAAAUUUUUCCAGGCCAUCAAAUACAACCUAAGGAACCAUAGCCACCAUCCCGCCAUGACCGUUCCUCGUUGUUUUGCUUUAUACGCCCUAAAAACUAGAAUUUCGCCCAAUUGCCAAAUUUUCAUGUUAGCCCACGCCUUCGAAGUGUGUCCGGGCCCCCGGAGCCCGAUCGCCUAAAAUUUUUUCGAGCCAUCAAAUACAACCUAAGGAACCAUAGUCACCACCCUGCCAUGGCCGUUCCUCGUUGUUUUGCGUUUUACGACCAAAAAACUAGAAUUUUGCCCGAUUCUCAUAUUUUCGUGUGCUAUAGCCGGGGGCCCGAGCCCACUCGGAAUGCGUGGGAUAUAGCACACAAAAA
This 555-nucleotide long non-coding RNA is filed under the name Nicotiana tabacum (common tobacco). RNAcentral's name for it is "long non-coding RNA (NTAB_LNC008732)". The record is from RNAcentral. Lineage: Eukaryota; Viridiplantae; Streptophyta; Magnoliopsida; Solanales; Solanaceae.